AAAUUGAAGAGUUUGAUCAUGGCUCAGAUUGAACGCUGGCGGCAGGCCUAACACAUGCAAGUCGAACGGUAGCACAGAGGAGCUUGCUCCUUGGGUGACGAGUGGCGGACGGGUGAGUAA
This 120-nucleotide ribosomal RNA is filed under the name Citrobacter freundii. RNAcentral's name for it is "partial 16S ribosomal RNA". It matches the Rfam family "Bacterial small subunit ribosomal RNA", at positions 1 to 113 of the family's 1533-position model. Lineage: Bacteria; Pseudomonadati; Pseudomonadota; Gammaproteobacteria; Enterobacterales; Enterobacteriaceae. The record is from RNAcentral.